UACGUAGGGUGCGAGCGUUGUCCGGAAUUAUUGGGCGUAAAGGGCGCGUAGGCGGUUUGUUAAGUCGGCUGUGAAAGCCCGGGCUCAACCCCGGAGGUCAGCCGAUACUGGCAGACUAGAGUACGGAAGAGGUAGCUGGAAUUCCGGUGUAGCGGUGAAAUGCGUAGAUAUCGGGAGGAACACCUGAGGCGAAGGCGGGCUACUGGGCCGAUACUGACGCUGAUGCGCGAAAGCCAGGGGAGCGAACGGG
This 250-nucleotide ribosomal RNA is filed under the name uncultured bacterium. Its description in RNAcentral is "partial 16S ribosomal RNA". It matches the Rfam family "Bacterial small subunit ribosomal RNA", at positions 524 to 776 of the family's 1533-position model. The record is from RNAcentral.